AUGAGAGUAACGUGUGCUUGUACACGGCUCACUGCGGCAUGUCAGGCAGGCAGCUUCUGUUUUGUUGUUACGGGUUGUUGCCACCCUUCAGAAUUUCCCAGAGGAGGGGAUCCGCGUGUCUCUAUGUUCAAAUAUGCCCAAGCUCCAGAGAGUCCGUGCAGGUGUGCUCAAGAACCCAGAUGCUGCGUUCCGCUUCGAUGGGAGAGCCGGGAGGGCUGGCUGGCGUCAGUAACGCUGACCCUGGGUCUUGUCUGCCAAGCCUAUUCGGACAUGGACAUCUUUGGGGGACCGUUAUUCUGCUUACACAGUAGGGCCCCCAAAAGAGAAAGCAGUUUACAGUCGUGCUCGGCCUGUGGUGUUGAAGCGAUGGUCCCGGUUGCAGCAGCUGCUCUGCGUUCCCGGUUCUGUAUCAGGAAGGCUAGCGUGCCGUCCUCAAGGGUUUCCGUAAACAGGCUCUGUGCGUCAAAGCUGCUGUGUCCCAUCGGAGGAACCAAUCAUCCAUGUCACUGACAGUGUUGGUUGGGCAUCCGGGAAAGCUGAAAAUUAAAGCUCUGUAAAGAGGCAUUUGUAAGUUAUGCACAGAGUGAUUGUCAAGACUAUUUAGAAGCCAUAGAGAGCUUUAAACUGAAGCCCUGAUAUCUCCAAUAACUAGAGGAGUAUCAUGCUUGUACUUGAAAGGUAAUAAAGAUAAUUUUUGAAAAUCUACAUUUUUUUUGGCCCGUGAAUUGAAACUCAACUGUUUCACAAUAGAAAAAUUAGAAAGGACAAAGAAAAACCAUUUCUAUAUAGAGUCUCUGUAUACAGGUAACUAAUCACAUUUGUAGUUCAUUAAUAUCUUGUUUAUGAAAAAAAAAAAUCAGUUCCAGACCUUCAGGGUUCCUUCUAACUCAGGGGGCUGUAUAAAAUCUUCUCAAUUUAAAUAGCAUCUUAAAAGGGUUAGUGUCCCUUGGUAAAAAGAAAACAUCUCCUCAUUACCAAUUAAAGGACUCCCGAAGUCUUUGAAAAGAGGACUUGUUUGCUUAAAAUACGUGAAGGUCACGCUCACCCUGUAACAGUCAAUGAGGAGUAGUCAUUUGUUAUUUUUAAACAGGCUGUCAUUUAGCCAUUAUGAAGAUGAAUAACAUUUGUUAUUAGCUAAUAAUCUUCCUGUUGAUUACAGAGAAAAGACACUUGCAGACACCUUAUGUGCC
This 1190-nucleotide long non-coding RNA is filed under the name Bos grunniens (domestic yak). RNAcentral describes it as "lncRNA (ENSBGRG00000016306.1)". Lineage: Eukaryota; Metazoa; Chordata; Mammalia; Artiodactyla; Bovidae. The record is from RNAcentral.